ACAUCAAACUUAAAAUUUGUCUUCUGAAUCAUCCUCUUAAAGGAUAUUCGUCUUCAAAUUAUAUGUCACACGCAAGCCAAUACCUUAACGAGCUUGAUACUUCAUGCUUGGAAGACGGUGAUAAUGUUGGAAGAGGAGUCCUGCAACUAUUAUGAUAAUUAUUAUUAACUGCAUUUAUCCAAAGCUGACGAGAUGAUGACUAAUGAAGUAAUGUAGUUCCAUGUGCAAAGAAAGAUGGACAAAAGUGUUCUCUACAUCCCAACUGAACUUGUGUAGUUUCCCAUAGUGCAUGAGGACAAUAAUAAAGGUGAUGACGAAAAAAUUGGUUGUAUUUUAUAUACAAGUAGUUUUGCUUCAGCAUACCAAUAUGAUACCAAUGAUUCUGUUAGAUAUAUGGACAAGACUAUGAUAUACUCCUAUUUGUUUUAAAUUUUGAAAUAUUAAAGAAUAUUUUUAAUCCUUAUACACUUAUUGUGUGUAAUAUAUAUACCAAUAUUGAUGAGCCAAUGUUAAAUAAGUUUGUUACAUAAUGUGCUAAAAGCUAAGAUUUUAUUUUUAUGUAUUGUGGAAAAUAUUGGAUUAGGCAAAAGGAAUAUGAGAAAAGAAUUUGGUACUUGUAGUCUUCAGUGAUUAUAAUUUGAUUUUUGACUCCAGUGUGACGUUCUAGCUUGCUUGUUGCUUGUAGUAAAGAGUUACAUUAGCGUAAUGCGUUAGGUUCUACUAAUCAUUACUUGAGAAUGAAAAACACAAAUAUUAUCAAUUCCUAAUGAAGAACAUCAAGUAGGCCACGUUUACCAAGUAUGGUCAAUUAUGUGAUGAUCUAUUUCAUAUUAUAAAUUGAUUAGAGAUCAGACGCGUACCUUAAUUGCAUUGAAAGAGGUUUUAUUCAAUCCCUUUGUCUUAGCCAUAUUGGAGGAGCUUCUUUGAUUAAUACAUACUUUGUCUAUGACUUGAAAGUUGAAAAGGUCUCUUAAUCCACUCUUAUAAUAAUGGCCUUUGUGCGAGCAGUAAAGGAGACAUGUGGUAACAAUGCCCUCUAAGAUACUUGUAGGUUGAAUUACUAGUCAUGUCGAGUAAUUCAUACUCGGUUGACACAGUCCGUGUGUGUCGAUAAUAGAAUAUUUUUUGGGUACCCAUGUCAUGGUGCAAAGUAUCAACGGUCCAUAUGAUGACUAAUUUUUGUCAAGUUGGCCAUCUUUUGUAG
RNAcentral lists this long non-coding RNA (1204 nucleotides) under Medicago truncatula (barrel medic). Its description in RNAcentral is "long non-coding RNA (MTRU_LNC002368)". Lineage: Eukaryota; Viridiplantae; Streptophyta; Magnoliopsida; Fabales; Fabaceae. The record is from RNAcentral.